Molecule: long non-coding RNA, 1059 nt
Organism: Gasterosteus aculeatus aculeatus (three-spined stickleback)
Lineage: Eukaryota; Metazoa; Chordata; Actinopteri; Perciformes; Gasterosteidae
Source: Ensembl
GAUUGCAGCUUCGCGAUUGUUUCCCUCUGAAGACCAAAGGUUACUCACAGCAGAGCGAAGGCAGCCAGCUUCGUUUGGCCUGAUUUAUCCUUUUAAAGGUAGAACAAUGGACGGUGAAUAAGAACGACGUCACCCAUUGGUUUGUAGACUGAGCUCUCAAGUUCCUCAUUUUCAUCGCCAUCUUGUCCAUCUUUGUUUUCUGCAACCAUUGAACGAAAGGUCCUGUACUUGGACCGCGGAGGCAUAACGUCGUGGUAGCACAAGGCGCCGUGAAGCAAACCAUGUUCUCUCUUGGUCCAAAGACGCGCAGCUCAGGACAGGCGGAUAAAGACAAUAGAGCAAUUGAAGACGGCCUUAAACUAGAGAUUAAGACCAUAAAGUCAUAUCAUGUAAAUCAAGUGGAAAAAGCAGCGCUGUCAGCACUGCAAAAGGCUCCAUGCAAAGCAAUGUGAUGGAGAUAAAGAGGAAACAAACAAAUGCUCUGUCAGGAGAGGAGGAGGAGGAGGAGGAGAGGGAGGAAAGAGACUGGGAAAAGGAGAGGGAGAACAUGUGGAGGACAGCCGGUGGAGGAAAGGAUGAAAGAAUCGAGAAGAGGAGAGACAGAAGUGAACAGUUUCAGGUGGCUAAAGACUGCGCGGACCAACAGGAAGUAACAGUCCUCAUGUUUUGGAUUGUAAGAAAAGAAACCGAGUGUUGUGUAACCUAAACUAGAUUAGUAUUCAAUGGAGGUGUUUGAAUUCCUCCACUCAGCUGGUGGGUUCCGUUGUUCUUCAGACAUGCUCACCAGCGUGUGGGGAGUCUUAUUUUCUAUUUGUCGUUGUGAAAACUCUGGAACAGGGAAAUCCAACUUUCGGUGAUUUAUGCCACACAAACAGUUAUAAGGAUGCAUGAAUCCGAGAGCUCUCAAGGUGUUGUGGGGAAUUAAACAAUGUAAGCUGAUCUGCAUUCCCCAAAGGCCUCACUGAAGUGUUUGUAUCUUAACAGCUCUGACAGAAAUUAUAACUCAACCUCAAACGGGGAGAAGGGAUUUUUCAUACGCAUUUGAAAGACUUCACAAAC